Ctenopharyngodon idella (grass carp) is the source of this 2326-nucleotide long non-coding RNA. RefSeq lists it as uncharacterized. The transcript is spliced from 4 exons. The record is from RefSeq and is a predicted model, not a curated record. Lineage: Eukaryota; Metazoa; Chordata; Actinopteri; Cypriniformes; Xenocyprididae.
GUUUGCGCAUUAGUCUAGUGUGUAUAUAUAGCCCUCAAGUUUCAUUGUUCCUUUGUCUAGCUUUGUUCCCUGUAACCUCUGUUGGCAGCAUUACAGCAGCAGUGGGGAAAGUCGUGGCUUUGGGUUACAUGAGUUGCUGUGGUCCUGAGCAAGAAUGGCAAUUUAAAGAGCUUUGUGAGUGUGGGUCCCUGAGAGCACUUCAUCAAGGCCAUGGAGCUAGAGGAAGUGGACUUGACUGUCAGUUACCACACAGGAAAGGACCCAGUCUGUCCUCAGGAUCCGAAGCCAGGUUCCUGUCAGGAUUCAUAUCACUCCACAGCCUUUAGUGCCAUGCGUCUGUCCGGGGGUGAAGGCAUCUCUCACCAGCACAUCUGGCCAGCAGGAGAAGCCUACCAAAGUCCCUUCUGCACACAUACAUGCAUGACCAGACAGAAUGUUUUGAAAGCAUACUAUUAAUUCAUUAAACAUUUAGAGAAUGUCAUAUAUUACUUGGGACAGAGGUUAAGUGUGUAUUUGUCAUACAAAUCUAAUGGUUUGAAUGUGUUUUUUGAAUGUGAAAUUUCCCCAGGCCUAUAUAGGAGAACGUGUCUUUGGGGAUUUUUUGUUGAGAAUGAUUAUAACAUAUUACUGUUUUUAGACAAUCUACUGCACAUAUGUGGACUUUUAAAUAGAUCCUAAAUAGAUUGUAAAUAGAUCCUAAUUAGAGGGAAAAGUCCCUUUUGCUUCACCAUGUAAUUGCUUGGCCUAUGACCUCUGAAACAUGGGCUCACUUCAGGCUGUGUUUGAAUACUGAGACUGACAGAAAACAUGUAAAUCAUUUAAAGCUGAUGAAAGCUGUGUGUUUUUGCCACUGAAAGAUUUGGAAUGUUCUUAGACUUCUUACAGAUGAAGAGGAAGAAAUUCAGACACAUUAAGCAAGAUCACACAAACAAAACUGUUCACACAAGUAGAGUUUAAUUACUGAAUGAAUUAGUUUUUAUUAACUAAUUGGUUUAGUGACCAAUUCAAUGACUCACUCAUAAAGACAGUCACUUGUUUCAUUAUUGAAUGAAUCAGAGUUAGAAACAAAUCAAUUGACUGAAUGAUUUACUCAUAAAGACAAUGGAUGCGUCCAAAAUCGCAUACUCUCUUCAGUAGGAAUUUAUUUUGAAUAAGUACUUACUUUGCAUCUGCUAAAAAAGUAUGUUCUAUAUAUUGUGAAUGUGUGUAGUAUGAAUGCAAUCCAAACGAACUACAUUUAUCAUGUUGUCAUUGUCAUGUGUCCAGUUACAUUUGCUUAAAAUUCCUCUCCCUUGGCCUCAUAGGACAGUAAAGUUUACUGUUUUUUAUAAAUACUGUAUUUUGCCUGCUAUAUAAUAUGGAAGUAUGCAAUUUUGGAUGCAGCCAGUCACUCGUUUCAUUCCUGAAUGAAUCAGUGUUUUGAUCCAAAUGAUUGACUGAAUGAUUCAAUGAUUCACUCAAAAAGACAGUCAGUUGUCUCCAUCUACUGAUAUUGAUGUAAACACCGACACUGAUAUACUGAAUAUGAUACUGAAUAUCAGCACUCUUGGAAUGGAACUCUUGGAAUGUUAUAUAAUCUUUAAAUAAAGGAGGAGAAUAAAACUGUUUUACAAUGGAUUAUCAAUUAUACAACCUGCAAAUAUGAAGAACCAUUGUGUUUCAGGAGAACUAAGACUCUGUAUCUGUUGAUAAUCUGUUGAUUAACUCGCAUGCAGCCACCAGGCUACACUGUUCCAUCUGUGUAUUAUGCAUGAUCCGGGACAGAUUACACUUGGCAAGGCAAAUUUGGCAAACAAGCUGUAUGUAAUGUGGCAGGUUGGAGAAGAGAAAGUUGCUGAUGAAAACUAGGUGAGGGGACAGCAAGUGUUGGGUAUAAGUGUUUGAACUGAACGGGUAAGGUUACAUAAAAAACUUUUCUUCUCUGUAUUUCUCCUCUUCUCUGGCUUGCUUCCUAAUCUAGUUGUGACAAACCUGACAUUGUAUAUUAUGAAUGUUGUUGGCUCCUUGUUGAAUUGCUUUUAUUACUCUUUUGGAAAAACGCAUCUGCUAAAUAUAAAUUGACAUGCCAUGCUGUUGACAGUUAAUAAGUUUCCCUUUUUAGCGGAAUGAUUAUGUUUAGUUCUGAAUCUGUUAUGAUCUCCUCUAAUCUGAGACGUGGUGCUCUUUUAGUGUGAACAAUGCGCACCGUUUUUGAACAUGGUCACCCUUGCCACCGCCCACUCCUACUUGCAGUUCACCUUCACUAUAUUUAGCCCCACGUCUCCUGAAAUGACACUCUGGAUGCAAGCCCCCUGCUGACAUUCUGAUUUCAUCUGUGUUUGUUAGC